GUUAGUCACAGGAGUCAAGAGACCACACACAGCCCAAAGUGACAUUUGUUUCCCUGAAAUGAUUUGUGUGUGUUCACCUUAAAAUGCAACUCAGUAAAACAGAUCUAUACAACCUGGCGUUUGGCCGUGGCUUCCAGGACAGGCUGGAUGCAGAGUGAAGUCCUCUCCUCACUGUCAAUGUUUGCAGAUGUCUUCUUAUAAACUUCAUUUUCUUGAGACUUUCAAUUAGGUUUUUACUUAACUGGACUUUUAAAAUUGCCAUGCACAUAACUCUACCAGUUACAAUCUUGAGCUAAC
Molecule: long non-coding RNA, 297 nt
Filed under: Macaca fascicularis (crab-eating macaque)
Lineage: Eukaryota; Metazoa; Chordata; Mammalia; Primates; Cercopithecidae
Description: lncRNA (ENSMFAG00000056223.1)
Source: RNAcentral